RNAcentral lists this ribosomal RNA (791 nucleotides) under uncultured archaeon. RNAcentral's name for it is "bacterial SSU rRNA". It matches the Rfam family "Archaeal small subunit ribosomal RNA", at positions 54 to 853 of the family's 1478-position model. The record is from RNAcentral.
CGAGUCAACAUAGCAAUAUGUGGCAUACGGCUCAGUAACACGUAGUCAACAUGCCCAGGGGACGUGGAUAACCUCGGGAAACUAAGGAUAAACCGCGAUAGGUCAUCACUUCUGGAAUGGGUAAUGACUUAAAUCUAUAUGGCCCCUGGAUUGGACUGCGGCCGAUCAGGCUGUUGGUGAGGUAAUGGCCCACCAAAUCUGUAACCGGUACGGGCUCUGAGAGGAGGAGCCCGGAGAUGGGCACUGAGGCAAGGGCCCAGGCCCUAUGGGGCGCAGCAGGCGCGAAACCUCUGCAAUAGGCGAAAGCUUGACAGGGUUACUCUGAGUGAUUUCCGUUAAGGAGAUCUUUUGGCACCUCUAAAAAUGGUGCAGAAUAAGGGGUGGGCAAGUCUGGUGUCAGCCGCCGCGGUAAUACCAGCACCCCGAGUGGUCGGGACGUUUAUUGGGCCUAAAGCAUCCGUAGCCGGUUCUACAAGUCUUCCGUUAAAUCCACCUGCUUAACAGAUGGGCUGCGGAAGAUACUAUAGAGCUAGGAGGCGGGAGAGGCAAGCGGUACUCGAUGGGUAGGGGUAAAAUCCGUUGAUCCAUUGAAGACCACCAGUGGCGAAGGCGGCUUGCCAGAACGCGCUCGACGGUGAGGGAUGAAAGCUGGGGGAGCAAACCGGAUUAGAUACCUGGGUAGUCCCAGCUGUAAACGAUGCAGACUCGGUGAUGAGUUGGCUUAUUGCUAACUCAGUGCCGCAGGGAAGCCGUUAAGUUUGCCGCCUGGGGAGUACGGUCGCAAGACUGAA